RNAcentral lists this ribosomal RNA (423 nucleotides) under Listeria monocytogenes. RNAcentral's name for it is "partial 23S ribosomal RNA". It matches the Rfam family "Bacterial large subunit ribosomal RNA", at positions 952 to 1375 of the family's 2925-position model. Lineage: Bacteria; Bacillati; Bacillota; Bacilli; Caryophanales; Listeriaceae. The record is from RNAcentral.
AACUCCGAAUGCCAUGUACUUAUACUCGGGAGUCAGACUGCGAGUGAUAAGAUCCGUAGUCGAAAGGGAAACAGCCCAGACCACCAGUUAAGGUCCCCAAAUAUAUGUUAAGUGGAAAAGGAUGUGGGGUUGCUUAGACAACCAGGAUGUUGGCUUAGAAGCAGCCACCAUUGAAAGAGUGCGUAAUAGCUCACUGGUCGAGUGACCCCGCGCCGAAAAUGUACCGGGGCUAAACAUAUUACCGAAACUGUGGAUGAACCUCUUUAGAGGUUCGUGGUAGGAGAGCGUUCUAAGGGCGGUGAAGUCAGACCGGAAGGACUGGUGGAGCGCUUAGAAGUGAGAAUGCCGGUAUGAGUAGCGAAAGAAGGGUGAGAAUCCCUUCCACCGAAUAUCUAAGGUUUCCUGAGGAAGGCUCGUCCGCUC